Molecule: ribosomal RNA, 231 nt
Filed under: uncultured bacterium
Lineage: Bacteria
Description: partial 16S ribosomal RNA
Rfam family: Bacterial small subunit ribosomal RNA
Source: RNAcentral
CGGGCAACCUGCCCCUCUCUCUGGGAUAACCCCGGGAUACCGGAGCUAAUACCGGAUACUCCGGCUGGAUCGCAUGGUCCGGCCGGGAAAGGUCAGCCGGAGAGGGAUGGGCCCGCGGCCUAUCAGCUUGUUGGUGGGGUCAUGGCUCACCAAGGCGACGACGGGUAGCUGGUCUGAGAGGACGACCAGCCACACUGGAACUGAGAUACGGUCCAGACUCCUACGGGAGCA